UAAGUUUUCCUUUUUACUCCUUAGCUGCUAGCGCAGUUUUAAUGAUAGCUGUUUCACAUGUGCAUGCGGCACUCAUGUGGGCAGAGCUGUCAGAAGACUGUAAAGUCUCAACCAUCCUGCGAUUGCUUGCACCUGAGGAAGACGGAAUGACGAUGUUCUGCGCCAUGAGAAUACACUGCAUCGAACACAGAACAAAAAGACUCACUACAACGCUGCAGCCACAAUAGUGUGUGAUUUCAAGUCUUAAAAACCAGAAUCACUUUCUUCUCUGGACUGGAAGCAUAUUUAUUUUGGCCGGUAAAUGAGGACUUGUUCCCUGCCUGGGGUGGCGGGGCCGGGGAGAAGCUCUGUUCCGCUGGCUGUGGCGGCAGGCGGGCAGGCAGGUUCCAGUUUCCAGUUUGGCCCAAUUCCUCCAAGCUAGCCCUGCUGUCACCUACGGAAAACAGAGAACCUGGGGGGAUGUGCUGAAGGCAGCUCCUGAGCCUUCCCACUCCCCACACGCCCUCACAUCAGCAGCAGAGCCCGGGG
This 528-nucleotide long non-coding RNA is filed under the name Homo sapiens (human). RNAcentral's name for it is "non-protein coding LINC00908:13". The record is from RNAcentral. Lineage: Eukaryota; Metazoa; Chordata; Mammalia; Primates; Hominidae.